This 410-nucleotide ribosomal RNA is filed under the name uncultured bacterium. RNAcentral describes it as "bacterial SSU rRNA". It matches the Rfam family "Bacterial small subunit ribosomal RNA", at positions 370 to 772 of the family's 1533-position model. The record is from RNAcentral.
AAUGGGCGCAAGCCUGAUCCAGCCAUGCCGCGUGAGUGAAGAAGGCCUUCGGGUUGUAAAGCUCUUUCGGCCGGGAAGAAAUCGUAUAGGUUAAUACCCUGUGCGGAUGACGGUACCGGCAUAAGAAGCACCGGCUAACUACGUGCCAGCAGCCGCGGUAAUACGUAGGGUGCGAGCGUUAAUCGGAAUUACUGGGCGUAAAGCGUGCGCAGGCGGUUUUGUAAGACAGGCGUGAAAUCCCCGGGCUCAACCUGGGAACUGCGUUUGUGACUGCAAGGCUAGAGUAUGGCAGAGGGGGGUGGAAUUCCACGUGUAGCAGUGAAAUGCGUAGAGAUGUGGAGGAACACCGAUGGCGAAGGCAGCCCCCUGGGCCAAUACUGACGCUCAUGCACGAAAGCGUGGGUAGCAAA